RNAcentral lists this long non-coding RNA (3476 nucleotides) under Lupinus angustifolius (narrow-leaved blue lupine). Its description in RNAcentral is "long non-coding RNA (LANG_LNC000665)". Lineage: Eukaryota; Viridiplantae; Streptophyta; Magnoliopsida; Fabales; Fabaceae. The record is from RNAcentral.
ACAGCAACAAAACCAGUGUUGCAGAAGAAAAGAAAUGAAAACAGAAUGAAUGAAAAGGUAGAGAAGAGAUAGAUGAUUAAAGAGUGAUUGAAGAGUAAAGAUAAUGCAAGAAGAGAUUGAUCAUUGAUCAAUGUAAAUUGAAUUACACAAUGCAUCAACUAACUUUCCUUAUAUAGCAACUACCAACCAACUAACAACUAUAAAUGGAAAGUAUCAAAAAACAGAAAACUGAAUUACAAAAAUACUUCUAAUUUUAACAUUCCCUCCUAAUUCAGUUUCUCAUCAAACUCUAGAACUCCUAUGUUCCUUCUCAUCUUCUCAAACCUCUCCUUCUUCAAAGGUUUGGUAAAAAUGUCUCCCAAUUGCACUUCACUCUUGCAAAACUCCAACCUAACUCUUCCUUUGCAAACUUGAUCUCUAAGAAAGUGAAAACGAGUCUCAAUAUGCUUGCUUCUUCCAUGAGCAACUGGAUUUUUAGCUAAGUUUAUGGCUGACUUGUUGUCAACCUUCAACAGCAAGCAUUCUCCUUCUGUUCUUAGCUUCAAUUCUGCCAUUAAAGUCACCAACCAAGCAGCUUGGCAAGUAGCCAUACAUGCUGCCACAUACUCUGCUUCACAUGAAGACAAUGCAACAAUAUCUUGUUUCUUUGAGCACCAUGAUAUAGGGGAGUCACCAAGCAAAAACAAGUAACCAGUUGUGCUCUUCCUAUCAAACUUAUCACCACACCAAUCAGCAUCACUAUAACCAAUGAUCCUCUGCUCCAGGCUUGCAGUUCUUGUAGGAAACAUUAAACCAAGGCCUAAAGUGCCCUUCACAUACCUGAGCAGCCUCUUAAUUGCAGUGAGAUCAUGCUGCUUUGGUGUCUCCAUUUGUCUGCUAACCAAGCCUACUCCAAAGGCAAUAUCAGGCCUAGUAUUGCACACAUAUCUUAGGCAACCAACCAUUUGCCUAUACAAAGUUUUGUCCACUUCUCCACCCUCAUCAUCAUUACUAGAUGAAGCAUAAGCCUGAAUAGGUGUGGACACUGAAUUGCAGCCCUGCAUAUUGAAUCUCUUAAGCACAUCAGAAGUAUAUUUCUUCUGGUGCAUAAAGAUUCCAACCUUGGUCUUGGUGAAUUCUAUCCCAAGGAAAUAAGAUAGAUCACCCAAGUCACUCAUUUCAAAUUCAGCCUUCAUGCUGUCCUUGAAUGCAGUGAUCUCUUCAAUUCUACUUCCAGUCACUAGCAAGUCAUCAACAUACAAGCAAACUAUCAACAAUUCAUUCAAAACUGACCCUUUUAUGUAUACUCCAUGUUCUGCACUGCAUUUAACAAAGCCUAGCUGCAACAAGAACCCAUCAAUUCUCCUAUUCCAUGCCCUUGGAGCCUGCUUAAGACCAUAAAGAGCCUUGUGUAAUCUGUAGACACAAUUCUCCUUGCCUGCAGUCUCAUAUCCAGGAGGUUGAUUGACAUACACUUCCUCUUCAAGAGGACCAUUUAAAAAGGCUGCUUUGACAUCCAUUUGUUGAAUUGACCAACCAUUAAAGCUUGCUACUGAGAUCACAAGCCUUAUGGUUUCCAUUCUUGCAACAGGAGCAAACACCUCAUCAUAGUCUAUGCCUUGUCUUUGAAGAAAGCCUUUUGCUACUAGUCUUGCUUUGUAUUUGGUCACUUCUCCUUUUGGAUUCAGCUUCACUUUAUAAACCCAUCUCACAUCAAUAGCCUUCUUGCCAUCUGGUAAUUCAGUAAGCUCCCAAGUGUGAUUUCUUUCUAUAGAGCUUAGUUCAUCUUGCAUAGCAUUCAACCAGUGUCCUUGUUUGACUGCUUCAUCAUAGUUUACUGGUUCCAUUUCUGCUAGGAGAGCAAUGUGCACCAGCUCACCUUCAUCAUUGAUUUCUGAGUCUGGAAAUACCUCAUAGUCACUCAAUCUUGGUGGAGGUUGCCUGACUCUGCUUGGUCUUCUUUCUGGUUGAACUUCUGUAACAAUUGAUGGCUGCUCAGAGACAUCAUUUAAAUGAAUCUGAGGUGAUUUGUGUUGAUCAGUUGUUGACUCUUCCCAGUUCCAUCCUUGUGAUUCAUCCACCCUUACAUCUCUGCUAAUCAUAAUCUUCUGAGUUAGGGGAUUGAAAAGUCUAUAUCCACCAGUUGAGUGAUAGCCUAGCAGCACCAAUCUCAAGCUUCUGUCAUCUAGCUUCUGUCUUUGCACCUUAGGGAUGUGCAUAUAAGCAAUGGAGCCAAACACCCUGAGAUGACCAACACUUGGCUUUAGACCAGACCAGGCUUCUUCAGGAGUGAUCUCACCUAGCCUCUUAGCAGGACAUCUGUUUAGAAUAUAUGUUGCUGUUGUAAUGGCUUCUCCCCAAAAUCUCUUUGGCAUCUGCUUUGUUUUUAACAUGCUUCUAGCCAUGUUCAAAAUUGUUCUGUUCUUCCUUUCUGCAGUGCCAUUGUGCUGUGGAGUAUAGGCUGCAAUUACCUCAUGAAUCAAGCCUUCUUUGCUGCAGAAGUUUCUCCAUUCAGCUGACACAUACUCACCCCCUCCAUCAGUCCUUAUGCACUUCACCUUCUGCUCACUUUGCUUUUCAACUUGUGCCUUGAACUCAAUAAAAGUGGCAAGCACAUCACUCUUAUUCUUCAAUGGAUAGACCCAAGUUUUCCUUGUGAGAUCAUCUAUAAAGGUAACAAAGUAUCUAUUACCCCCUAAUGAGUGUUCUUCAAAGGGUCCACAUACAUCUGAGUAAACCAAUUCAAGUGGUUUAGAUGAUUUAGUUGGAAUGUAACUCACAAAGGACUUCCUUGCUUGCUUNNNNNNNNNNNNNNNNNNNNNNNNNNNNNNNNNNNNNNNNNNNNNNNNNNNNNNNNNNNNNNNNNNNNNNNNNNNNNNNNNNNNNNNNNNNNNNNNNNNNUAGCAUCUUCCAAGAAUGUCCCAAGCUUCUUUUGAUGUGCUAGACUGUGCAAUUUUCUCAAAAUUCGAAUCAUCUACACACUGAUGAAUCAUUGCCAGAGCUUUGCAAUCUCUCUUCAUGCACUCUCUGUGAAGGGAUCUCUGCACUUCAGUAGCUUCAUCUUCCACUGCUUGGAAACCAUCUUGCACAACAUCAAGAACUUCUUGAUAUCCAAAAAGAACCUUCAUCUGCACUUGCCAUCUUUCAUAGUUCUUGCCAUUUAGAGUUGGUAGAACCAUUGUAAAUCCGCUAUUGCUUGCCAUUAGUGAGCUUCCUUCUUCCUUCUUACCACAGUUCCAAGAUCAAGGAAUUAUGGCUCUUGAUACCACUGUUACAGCAACAAAACCAGUGUUGCAGAAGAAAAGAAAUGAAAACAGAAUGAAUGAAAAGGUAGAGAAGAGAUAGAUGAUUAAAGAGUGAUUGAAGAGUAAAGAUAAUGCAAGAAGAGAUUGAUCAUUGAUCAAUGUAAAUUGAAUUACACAAUGCAUCAACUAACUUUCCUUAUAUAGCAACUACCAACCAACUAACAACUAUAAAUGGAAAGUAUCAAAAAACAG